UUACCAGGGAUGGGAAUCGAACCCACAGUGUUCCGCUUACCGGGCAGAUGCCAUGUCCACUAGGCUACCCUGGA
This 74-nucleotide transfer RNA is filed under the name Cordylochernes scorpioides. RNAcentral's name for it is "tRNA-Thr". Lineage: Eukaryota; Metazoa; Arthropoda; Arachnida; Pseudoscorpiones; Chernetidae. The record is from RNAcentral.